GAACGAGAAAGGGGCUUCGGCCCUGAGUACAGUGGCGCACGGGUGAGUAACACGUGACUAACCUACCCUUGAGUGGGGAAUAACUUCGAGAAAUCGAGGCUAAUUCCGCAUAAUACCUACGGGUCAAAGGAGCAAUUCGCUUAAGGAGGGGGUCGCGGCAGAUUAGCUAGUUGGCGGGGUAAUGGCCCACCAAGGCAGUGAUCUGUAUCCGGCCUGAAAGGGCGCACGGACACACUGGAACUGAAACACGGUCCAGACUCCUACGGGAGGCAGCAGUGGGGAAUUUUGCGCAAUGGGGGAAACCCUGACGCAGCAACGCCGCGUGGAGGAUGAAGUCUCUUGGGACGUAAACUCCUUUCGAUCGGGACGAUAAUGACGGUACCGAUAGAAGAAGCCCCGGCUAACUUCGUGC
This 412-nucleotide ribosomal RNA is filed under the name uncultured bacterium. RNAcentral describes it as "bacterial SSU rRNA". It matches the Rfam family "Bacterial small subunit ribosomal RNA", at positions 64 to 508 of the family's 1533-position model. The record is from RNAcentral.